AUGUCCGUCACGCGGGUUCUUGCGCUGCUUGUCGCGGCGGCGCUGGCGGCCGCGGCGCCGGCGCGCGUGGGCGCGGCGGGGGCGUGCGCGGCGGAGAGGUUCUCCAAGAACCGCGUGUACGCCGCCUGCACCGACCUGCCCACCCUGGGCGCGUCCGUGCACUGGACCUACGACCCGGCGGCCUCCUCCCUCUCCGUGGCGUUCGUCGCCGCGCCGCCCUCGUCCGGCGGCUGGGUCGCCUGGGGCCUCAACCCCUCCGGCGACGGCAUGAGCGGCACGCAGGCGCUCGUCGCCUCGCCCACGGGCAGCGGCGGCGCGUACGGCGUCCAGACGUUCGACAUCCAGGGCACAUCGCUCGGAUCGCCGGGCCCCAUCGCCUACAAGACGUCCGACCUCGCCGCCGAGGUCGGCGCCGACGGCCGCGUCCAGAUGUUCGGGAAGCUCGCGCUCCAGAACGGCACCGGGGAGGUGAACCAGGUCUGGCAGGUGGGACCGGCGUCGGGCGGGAGCAUCGGCAUACACGCCAUGGCCGCCGCCAACAUGGGGGCCAAGGGGAAGCUCAACCUCGUCACGGGGGCGACCACAGCCGUCAGCGGAGGCAGCAUCCUCAGGAAGAAAAAUACCCAUGGAAUUCUGAAUGCUGUGAGCUGGGGGAUUCUUCUGCCAAUGGGAGGCAUAGUUGCUAGAUACCUCAAGACAUUCAAAUCAGCCGACCCUGCCUGGUUCUACCUUCACGUUGCUUGCCAGCUGAUCGGGUAUGCUGUGGGAGUGUCUGGCUGGGCCACCGGCAUUCAUCUAGGAAAUCUGUCCAAGGGAAUCACCUACUCGCUUCACAGGAACAUCGGGAUCGCCGUAUUUGCUCUCGGUACCGUUCAGAUCUUUGCGCUGUUCCUGAGGCCGAAGAAGGAUCACAAGCUGCGGGUGUACUGGAACGUGUACCACCACUCGGUGGGCUACACCAUCAUCAUCCUGGGCAUCGUCAACAUCUUCAAGGGCAUGAGCAUCCUGGACGUGGCGCAGAAGUGGAAGACGGGCUACAUCAUCGCCAUCGGCAUCCUGGGCGGCGUCGCGGUGGCGCUGGAGGUGAUCACCUGGGCCAUCGUGCUCAAGAGGAGGAAGACGGAGGACAAGGCCUACAACGGCGGCGCCUCCAACAACAACAACGGCCAUCUGCCCAUGUGA
RNAcentral lists this ribosomal RNA (1182 nucleotides) under Triticum aestivum (bread wheat). RNAcentral's name for it is "partial small subunit ribosomal RNA". Lineage: Eukaryota; Viridiplantae; Streptophyta; Magnoliopsida; Poales; Poaceae. The record is from RNAcentral.